AGUGAACGCUGGCGGUAGGCCUAACACAUGCAAGUCGAACGGCAGCACAGUAUGAGCUUGCUCUUACGGGUGGCGAGUGGCGGACGGGUGAGGAAUACAUCGGAAUCUACUUUUUCGUGGGGGAUAACGUAGGGAAACUUACGCUAAUACCGCAUACGACCUACGGGUGAAAGCAGGGGAUCUUCGGACCUUGCGCGAUUGAAUGAGCCGAUGUCGGAUUAGCUAGUUGGCGGGGUAAGGGCCCACCAAGGCGACGAUCCGUAGCUGGUCUGAGAGGAUGAUCAGCCACACUGGAACUGAGACACGGUCCAGACUCCUACGGGAGGCAGCAGUGGGGAAUAUUGGACAAAGGGCGCAAGCCUGAUCCAGCCAUACCGCGUGGGUGAAGAAGGCCUUCGGGUUGUAAAGCCCUUUUGUUGGGAAAGAAAAGCAGCAGGUUAAUACCCCGCUGUUCUGACGGUACCCAAAGAAUAAGCACCGGCUAACUUCGUG
RNAcentral lists this ribosomal RNA (492 nucleotides) under uncultured bacterium. RNAcentral's name for it is "partial 16S ribosomal RNA". It matches the Rfam family "Bacterial small subunit ribosomal RNA", at positions 29 to 507 of the family's 1533-position model. The record is from RNAcentral.